UUGCCAGCUUCGGCAGCACAUGUACAAAAAUUGGGACGAUACAGAGGUUAGUGUGGCCCCUGUGCAAGGACGACACGCAAAUUUGUGAAGCGUUCCACGUUUUU
Molecule: small nuclear RNA, 104 nt
Filed under: Tursiops truncatus (common bottlenose dolphin)
Lineage: Eukaryota; Metazoa; Chordata; Mammalia; Artiodactyla; Delphinidae
Source: RNAcentral